This 1378-nucleotide ribosomal RNA is filed under the name Xylodon olivaceobubalinus. RNAcentral describes it as "Xylodon sp. JD-2023e partial large subunit ribosomal RNA". It matches the Rfam family "Eukaryotic large subunit ribosomal RNA", at positions 53 to 1430 of the family's 3401-position model. The record is from RNAcentral. Lineage: Eukaryota; Fungi; Basidiomycota; Agaricomycetes; Hymenochaetales; Schizoporaceae.
GAGGAAGAACUAACAGGAUUCCCCUAGUAACUGCGAGUGAAGCGGGAAAAGCUCAAAUUUAAAAUCUGACGGUUUCAUCGUCCGAGUUGUAAUCUGGAGAAGCAUUUUCGGUGUCAGACCGUGUACAAGUCUCUUGGAAUAGAGUGUCAUAGAGGGUGAGAGUCCCGUCCAUGACACGGAUCCUGAUGCUAUGUGAUAUGCUCUCGAAGAGUCGAGUUGUUUGGGAAUGCAGCUCAAAAUGGGUGGUAAAUUCCAUCUAAAGCUAAAUAUUGGCGAGAGACCGAUAGCGAACAAGUACCGUGAGGGAAAGAUGAAAAGCACUUUGGAAAGAGAGUUAAACAGUACGUGAAAUUGUUGAAAGGGAAACGCUUGAAGUCAGUCGCGUUGUCUGGAACUCAGCCUUGCUUGCAUGGUGUACUUUCCAGUUAACGGGUCAACAUCAAUUUUGGUUGGUGGAUAAAGGCAGAGGGAAUGUGGCAUCUUUUGGUGUGUUAUAGCCCUUUGUUGCAUACGCUGACUGGGAUUGAGGAAUGCAGCACGCCUUCAUGGCCGGGGGUUCGCCCUACGUAACGUGCUUAGGAUGUUGGCAUAAUGGCUUUAAGUGACCCGUCUUGAAACACGGACCAAGGAGUCUAACAUGCUCGCGAGUGUUAGGGUGGAAAACCCUUGCGCGUAAUGAAAGUGAAAGUUGGGAGCCUUUGCUGGUGCACCGACGCCCGGCCCUGAAGUUCUCUGACGGUGCUGCGGUAGAGCGCGUAUGUUGGGACCCGAAAGAUGGUGAACUAUGCCUGAAUAGGGUGAAGCCAGGGGAAACUCUGGUGGAGGCUCGUAGCGAUUCUGACGUGCAAAUCGAUCGUCAAAUUUGGGUAUAGGGGCGAAAGACUAAUCGAACCAUCUAGUAGCUGGUUCCUGCCGAAGUUUCCCUCAGGAUAGCAGAAACUCAUAUCAGAUUUAUGUGGUAAAGCGAAUGAUUAGAGGCCUUGGGGCUGUAACAGCCUUAACCUAUUCUCAAACUUUAAAUAUGUAAGAACAAGCCGUCUCUUAGUUGGACCGUUUGUCGAUUGAGAGUUUCUAGUGGGCCAUUUUUGGUAAGCAGAACUGGCGAUGCGGGAUGAACCGAACGUGAGGUUAAGGUGCCGGAAUGCACGCUCAUCAGACACCACAAAAGGUGUUAGUUCAUUUAGACAGCAGGACGGUGGCCAUGGAAGUCGGAAUCCGCUAAGGAGUGUGUAACAACUCACCUGCCGAAUGAACUAGCCCUGAAAAUGGAUGGCGCUCAAGCGUGCUACCCAUACCUCACCGUCAGCGUUGAAGUGACGCGCUGACGAGUAGGCAGGCGUGGAGGUCAGUGAAGAAGCCUGGCAGGAGCUGGUCGCCC